This 465-nucleotide ribosomal RNA is filed under the name uncultured bacterium. RNAcentral describes it as "partial 16S ribosomal RNA". It matches the Rfam family "Bacterial small subunit ribosomal RNA", at positions 338 to 795 of the family's 1533-position model. The record is from RNAcentral.
CCUACGGGGGGCUGCAGUGGGGAAUAUUGCGCAAUGGGCGAAAGCCUGACGCAGCGACGCCGCGUGAGGGAUGAAGGUCUUCGGAUCGUACACCUCUGUCAGCAGGGAAGAACGGUCACUGUGCUAAUCAGCAGUGAAUUGACGGUACCUGCAAAGGAAGCACCGGCUAACUCCGUGCCAGCAGCCGCGGUAAUACGGAGGGUGCGAGCGUUAAUCGGAAUUACUGGGCGUAAAGCGCUCGUAGGCGGGAUGUCAAGUCCAGGGUGAAAUCCCCGCGCUCAACGUGGGAACUGCCUUUGAAACUGGCAAACUGGAGUGUGUGAGAGGAUAGUGGAAUUCCAGGUGAAGGAGUGAAAUCCGUAGAUAUCUGGAGGAACAUCAGUGGCGAAGGCGACUAUCUGGCACAUAACUGACGCUGAGGAGCGAAAGCGUGGGUAGCAAACAGGAUUAGAUACCCCAGUAGUC